Molecule: ribosomal RNA, 491 nt
Filed under: uncultured bacterium
Lineage: Bacteria
Description: partial 16S ribosomal RNA
Rfam family: Bacterial small subunit ribosomal RNA
Source: RNAcentral
GAUUGAACGCUGGCGGCAGGCCUAACACAUGCAAGUCGAACGGUAACCGGAAGCAGCUUGCUUCUUUGCUGACGAGUGGCGGACGGGUGAGUAAUGUCUGGGAAACUGCCUGAUGGAGGGGGAUAACUACUGGAAACGGUAGCUAAUACCGCAUAACGUCGCAAGACCAAAGAGGGGGACCUUCGGGCCUCUUGCCAUCGGAUGUGCCCAGAUGGGAUUAGCUAGUAGGUGGGGUAACGGCUCACCUAGGCGACGAUCCCUAGCUGGUCUGAGAGGAUGACCAGCCACACUGGAACUGAGACACGGUCCAGACUCCUACGGGAGGCAGCAGUGGGGAAUAUUGCACAAUGGGCGCAAGCCUGAUGCAGCCAUGCCGCGUGUAUGAAGAAGGCCUUCGGGUUGUAAAGUACUUUCAGCGGGGAGGAAGGGAGUAAAGUUAAUACCUUUGCUCAUUGACGUUACCCGCAGAAGAAGCACCGGCUAACUCCGUG